AGUCUAUUCAGAGGAACCUGUCCUGUAAUUGAUAAUCCACGAUGAACCUUACUUAAAUUUGUUUUUCAGUUUAUAUACCGUCGUUAUCAGAAUAUUUUAUUAGAAUAAUAAUUUUCUAUAAUUUUAAUAGGAAUAUAUAUCAGAUCAAGGUGUAGCUUAUAUUUAAGUAGAGAUGGGUUACAAUAAAUAUAUUUAAACGGAUCUAAUUUUGAAAUAUUUUUAGUGAAGGUGGAUUUGAUAGUAAAAUUUUAAAGAUUGUGAAUUUGAUUUUAGCUCUAGAAUAUGCACACAUCGCCCGUCGCUCUUACUAUUAAGGUAAGAUAAGUCGUAACAUAGUAGAUGUACCGGAAGGUGUAUCUAGAAUGA
This 366-nucleotide ribosomal RNA is filed under the name Zeugodacus scutellatus. Its description in RNAcentral is "partial 12S rRNA". It matches the Rfam family "Microsporidia small subunit ribosomal RNA", at positions 800 to 1311 of the family's 1311-position model. The record is from RNAcentral. Lineage: Eukaryota; Metazoa; Arthropoda; Insecta; Diptera; Tephritidae.